GAUGAACGCUAGCGGGAGGCCUAACACAUGCAAGCCGAGCGGUAGAGUUUCUUCGGAAACUUGAGAGCGGCGCACGGGUGCGUAACACGUGUGCAACCUACCUUUAUCUGGGGGAUAGCCUUUCGAAAGGAAGAUGAAUACCCCAUAAUAUAAUGAUUGGCAUCAAUUAUUAUUGAAAACUCCGGUGGAUAGAGAUGGGCACGCGCAAGAUUAGAUAGUUGGUGAGGUAACGGCUCACCAAGUAAAUGAUCGUUAGGGGUCCUGAGAGGGAGAUCCCCCACACUGGUACUGAGACACGGACCAGACUCCUACGGGAGGCAGCAGUAAGGAAUAGUGGACAAUGGGUGAGAGCCUGAUCCAGCCAUCCCGCGUGAAGGAAGACGGUCCUAUGGAUUGUAAACUUCUUUUGUACAGGGAUAAACCUACCCUCGGGAGGGUAGCUGAAGGUACUGUACGAAUAAGCACCGGCUAACUCCGUG
Molecule: ribosomal RNA, 479 nt
Filed under: uncultured bacterium
Lineage: Bacteria
Description: partial 16S ribosomal RNA
Rfam family: Bacterial small subunit ribosomal RNA
Source: RNAcentral